This 561-nucleotide ribosomal RNA is filed under the name Hyperolius angolensis (Angolan reed frog). RNAcentral describes it as "partial 16S ribosomal RNA". It matches the Rfam family "Bacterial large subunit ribosomal RNA", at positions 1812 to 2602 of the family's 2925-position model. The record is from RNAcentral. Lineage: Eukaryota; Metazoa; Chordata; Amphibia; Anura; Hyperoliidae.
AACAUCGCCUCUUGCUAAAAUAUAAGAGGUCCCGCCUGCCCCGUGAAUUAAUUUAACGGCCGCGGUAUCUUGACCGUGCAAAGGUAGCAUAAUCAAUUGUUCUUUAAAUAAGGACUAGUAUGAACGGCAUCACGAGGGUUUAACUGUCUCCCUAUUUUAAUCAAUGAAAUUGAUCCCCCCGUGAAGAAGCGGGGACAUAACUAUAAGACGAAAAGACCCCAUGGAGCUUUAAACUUAUUUUCAAUUACCAAAAACCAAAACAUACACCCGGUAAAAAUGAUAAUCGUUUUCGGUUGGGGCGACCCUGGAGAAAAAUAAAUCCUCCAAGCUGAAUAGAUUAGAAUCUAAUGUUAGAGCAACAACUCAAACAAUCAAAACCUUGACAAAAUGACCCAGAAUUCAUCUGAUCAACGAACCAAGUUACCCUGGGGAUAACAGCGCAAUCCAUUUCAAGAGCCCUUAUCGACAAAUGGGUUUACGACCUCGAUGUUGGAUCGGGGUAUCCUAGCAGCGCAGCCGUUGCUUAAGGUUCGUUUGUUCAACGAUUAAUAACCCCACGUG